GACGAACGCUGGCGGCGUGCCUAAUACAUGCAAGUCGAACGCAUUUUCUUUCACCGUAGCUUGCUACACCGAAAGAAAAUGAGUGGCGAACGGGUGAGUAACACGUGGGUAACCUGCCCAUCAGCGGGGGAUAACACUUGGAAACAGGUGCUAAUACCGCAUAAUUCCAUUUACCGCAUGGUAGAUGGAUGAAAGGCGCUUUUGCGUCACUGAUGGAUGGACCCGCGGUGCAUUAGCUAGUUGGUGGGGUAACGGCCUACCAAGGCUGCGAUGCAUAGCCGACCUGAGAGGGUGAUCGGCCACACUGGGACUGAGACACGGCCCAGACUCCUACGGGAGGCAGCAGUAGGGAAUCUUCGGCAAUGGACACAAGUCUGACCGAGCAACGCCGCGUGAGUGAAGAAGGUUUUCGGAUCGUAAAACUCUGUUGUUAGAGAAAAACAAGGAUGAGAGUGGAAAGUUCAUCCCUUGACGGUAUCUAACCAGAAAGCCACGGCUAACUACGUG
RNAcentral lists this ribosomal RNA (507 nucleotides) under uncultured bacterium. Its description in RNAcentral is "partial 16S ribosomal RNA". It matches the Rfam family "Bacterial small subunit ribosomal RNA", at positions 28 to 507 of the family's 1533-position model. The record is from RNAcentral.